This 265-nucleotide ribosomal RNA is filed under the name uncultured prokaryote. RNAcentral's name for it is "partial 16S ribosomal RNA". It matches the Rfam family "Bacterial small subunit ribosomal RNA", at positions 524 to 788 of the family's 1533-position model. The record is from RNAcentral.
UACGGAGGAUCCGAGCGUUAUCCGGAUUUAUUGGGUUUAAAGGGUGCGCAGGCGGGAGAUUAAGUCGGCGGUGAAAUUUCGCAGCUUAACUGUAAAAGUGCCAUCGAUACUGGUUUCCUUGAGUGUAGAUGAAGUAGGCGGAAUUUGUGGUGUAGCGGUGAAAUGCAUAGAUAUCACGAGGAACUCCGAUUGCGCAGGCAGCUUACUAAACUACUACUGACGCUCAGGCACGAAGGCGUGGGGAUCAAACAGGAUUAGAUACCCU